AGGAGCGCCUGGAGAUGACGGACACCUUCAAGCAGCAGAAGGUGCGGUUGGCGCAGGAGGGCUUCAACCCCUCCUCCAUCCCUGACCCCCUGUUCCUGCUGGACCAGAGCUCCAAGGCCUACGUGCCCCUGGGCCCUGCGCAAUGGGAGGGGGUCCUGGAUGGGAGCAUCCGCAUUUAGGGGGCCCCAAGCCCAUGGGGAGGUCCUGCACAGGGUGCCCCGUGGGCUCUCCAUGGCCAUCCCUGGGUACCCAGCAUCCAUCCCUGGGUACCAGUGUCCAUCCCUGGGUACCCAACGUCCAUCCCUGGGUACCCAGCAUCCAUCCCUGGGUACCCAGCAUCCAUCCCUGGGUACCAGUUGUCCAUCCCUGGGUACCCAACGUCCAUCCCUGGGUACCAGUGUCCAUCCAUGGGUACCCAACAUCCAUCCCUGGGUACCCAACAUCCAUCCCUGGGUACCCAGCAUCCAUUCCUGGGUACUCAGCAUCCAUCCCUGGGUACUCAACGUCCAUCCCUGGGUACCCAGCAUCCAUCCCUGGGUACUCAGCAUCCAUCCCUGGGUACCCAACAUCCGUCCCUAGGUACCCAAUGUCCAUCCCUGGGUACCCACAUCCAUCCCUCAGUACCCAAUGUCCAUCCUGUAGGUCCCCACAUCC
Long non-coding RNA from Neopsephotus bourkii (Bourke's parrot), 654 nucleotides. RefSeq lists it as uncharacterized. The record is from RefSeq and is a predicted model, not a curated record. The transcript is spliced from 3 exons. Lineage: Eukaryota; Metazoa; Chordata; Aves; Psittaciformes; Psittacidae.